Molecule: ribosomal RNA, 253 nt
Filed under: uncultured bacterium
Lineage: Bacteria
Description: partial 16S ribosomal RNA
Rfam family: Bacterial small subunit ribosomal RNA
Source: RNAcentral
UACGAAGGGAGCUAGCGUUGUUCGGAAUUACUGGGCGUAAAGCGCACGUAGGCGGACUUGUCAGUCAGGGGUGAAAUCCCAAGGCUCAACCUUGGAACUGCCUCCGAUACAGCAAGUCUUGAGAUCGGGAGAGGUGAGUGGAAUUCCUAGUGUAGAGGUGAAAUUCGUAGAUAUUAGGAAGAACACCAGUGGCGAAGGCGCCUCACUGGUCCGGUACUGACGCUGAGGUGCGAAAGCGUGGGGAGCAAAUAGG